RNAcentral lists this ribosomal RNA (305 nucleotides) under uncultured bacterium. RNAcentral describes it as "bacterial SSU rRNA". It matches the Rfam family "Bacterial small subunit ribosomal RNA", at positions 337 to 640 of the family's 1533-position model. The record is from RNAcentral.
UCCUACGGGAGGCAGCAGUGAGGAAUAUUGGUCAAUGGGCGCGAGCCUGAACCAGCCAAGUCGCGUGAGGGAAGACGGUCCUAUGGAUUGUAAACCUCUUUUGUCGGGGAGCAAAAGACGCCACGCGUGGCGUUCCGAGAGUACCCGAAGAAAAAGCAUCGGCUAACUCCGUGCCAGCAGCCGCGGUAAUACGGAGGAUGCGAGCGUUAUCCGGAAUUAUUGGGUUUAAAGGGUGCGCAGGCGGAAGAUCAAGUCAGCGGUAAAAUGGAGAGGCUCAAACUCUUCGCGACGUUGAAACUUGUUUU